Molecule: ribosomal RNA, 158 nt
Filed under: uncultured fungus
Lineage: Eukaryota; Fungi
Description: 5.8S ribosomal RNA
Rfam family: 5.8S ribosomal RNA
About the family: 5.8S ribosomal RNA (5.8S rRNA) is a component of the large subunit of the eukaryotic ribosome. It is transcribed by RNA polymerase I as part of the 45S precursor that also contains 18S and 28S rRNA. Functionally, it is thought that 5.8S rRNA may be involved in ribosome translocation.
Source: RNAcentral
AACUUUCAACAACGGAUCUCUUGGCUCUCGCACCGAUGAAGAACGCAGCGAAAUGCGAUAAGUAAUGUGAAUUGCAGAUUUUCAGUGAAUCAUCGAAUCUUUGAACGCACCUUGCGCCCCUUGGUAUUCCGAGGGGCAUGCCUGUUUGAGUGUCAUUG